CGUGCGGGAAGAAGGCCUUCGGGUUGUAAACCGCUUUUGGUCGGAAAGAAAAGGCGACUACCCUAAGUACGGGGACGUUCUUGUACGGUACCGGCAGAAUAAGCACCGGCUAACUACGCGC
Molecule: ribosomal RNA, 121 nt
Filed under: uncultured bacterium
Lineage: Bacteria
Description: partial 16S ribosomal RNA
Rfam family: Bacterial small subunit ribosomal RNA
Source: RNAcentral